RNAcentral lists this unclassified non-coding RNA (359 nucleotides) under Hevea brasiliensis (rubber tree). The record is from RNAcentral. Lineage: Eukaryota; Viridiplantae; Streptophyta; Magnoliopsida; Malpighiales; Euphorbiaceae.
GCACGGCGAGAUCACGCCAGCCAGCCGCCAGCCAUGUGAAAGCGUCGGAUGGGGCCAGUGACCGAUUCCAGCGGUUCUUGACCGGAAGUGGUGGCACAAGGCUCGGGAUGAUGGUCAUGCGAAGUUACUCCGCCGAUAGUUUGGUUGGCUUCGCGGCUUUUGGCGAACAGGACGACUUCGCCGCGCUGAAGCUGUUAUUUCCUUCGCUCGCCUCACCACGACGCACGUGAUCGACGCACUCCGGCUGCGAGGUUACAGCGACAUAAAGCAGGUGCGCAUUCGCACCGACAAGCAGAAUAAGGCCGAGCCCAGUCACCAGCAUGAUGAAUGGCUUCAACCUCAGCCGGGCAGGGGAUGUU